Molecule: long non-coding RNA, 1812 nt
Organism: Hemicordylus capensis (graceful crag lizard)
Lineage: Eukaryota; Metazoa; Chordata; Lepidosauria; Squamata; Cordylidae
Exons: 4
Source: RefSeq, a predicted model, not a curated record
CCAAAAUGGCCACUGCACUGAUCUUUAUAGGCCAAAACAGGCCUGAAAAUUAGCCCGAGACAGGCUGCGGCAGUGAUCUAAGAGGCUGGCGGGGGGACGGGGAACCUUUGCAGACACCCCCCCCCCCCGUGGCCUUUAGGAAGCCCCCCGAAGGGGCUACAGGGAAUAAGAUGGGAGAGACGAGGUGACUCUCUCUGGGCUGAGAGAACCGCUUCACCACAUGGGCACAGAGGUGAUUUCAGGAUUGGCAGUGGCCCUUUGGAAAGCCCUGAGCCCUCAACAUCUGGUCAAGUAUGCUGAACCCUGAUCCUGGGCCUGCAGUGAGGACAACGCAACUAGAGUACAGACCCUGGCAAAAAGGACAUAUGCUGACAACACAACAAGCAGAGAAAGAAACCAAGCAAAUAGUUACGAUAGGAAAAUGAAUAUGUAAAGAAGAAGAAAGCAGAAACACAUAGCAGAAAUCAGCCAAAGGAGCAAUGAGGCUGUUUGAUGAAAAAAGUGUCAACGGAGUUCAGAAAGAAGAGCUGCUAAGUGAAUGAAUUCUUUUGUGCCCAUCGUUAUUGCACUCAAGACGGGCGAAAGUUAUACUCUGGCCACUAAAGGUAUCCUGGUUUACAUGGCAUCCAGCAUGAGGAUUAAAGAUCUCAGUCAAUACUGGUCUUGGUUUCUAUUUCUCACGUGGACUACAAUUCCUUUGUAGCCUGAUGCUGAACUGAAGCACAGACCUUCAUCUUCUGACCUCAAAAGAUGACCUGAGAUUAGCUUGAUAAAAGUCACCAACAUUCUGAGAAGCAAAACAUCCGUCUUCAGCCAGGUCUAUGAGCACUGCAGCCAUGCUGAAGAAGACCAUCAACUCAUGAAGGCUGUAAUCCAUGGUGCACUUACUCCCAUUUAACUGAACAAGAAUUACUUCUGAGUAAACAUGCAAAAGAUCAGACUGAACAGCAGGGGGGAAGGGAGGAAAGAACUUUUGAGUGGGAAAUAUGAGUUAUUAGGUGUGGGGGGGUUGUCCGUAAAAUAAAGGUAGGGGGAGCUCUUCAAAUGCUUUGGAGAGUUCUUCAACCUUGCUGAAAAAAACUUUAAAGAGACAGAAGGCCCUGGAUUGUCUACACUGCACAGUUGUACCAAAGAAGUCAUCUGUUCAACCUAGGUAGGUGACAUAACAAUGUUUGAUUGGACUUACAUCUAUUCUUUCUUACAAAAUUGGGAAGUGUGACUGAGAUGUUGUUGUUUGAAAGGAUGUUUUAGAUCUGUGGUUCAGUUUUGCCUGAAUUGUUCUGAUUUUUCAAGCUAUUUUCUAAAACCACAAAACACUCUCUUCAACAAAUCUGAAACCAACAAUUCAUUAUGAUAUCUGAGCUUCUUGCCCAAAAUAUUUUGUUAGGUUAAUUGAAACCAACCCAUUACUCCUCACAAAUAUUUCAAAGACUCUAACUUGCAGUGCGGGCCAUCAAUAUAUUUCUGCCUGAAGUAAAACGUCAGCGAUGUUCCCGCCACCUAUUUUUAAUGGUCGAUAGAGAUGAGGCAUGGAUACAGGCAAAGGCCACCCCUCUGGGGUGGUCUGCUGGCCAAAUAACAUCACUUGGUGGGGAGGUCUGAUCCGCUGAAGGAAUACCCCAACCCCACAUUUCAGGAACCUGUUCUCAGGAACAUAUUCUACGGCAUCUAGCUGUAUGAUUUAUGAUUCCAUCUAGCUAUAUGAGUGACUGACCCCUAGUGUGGCUACAGCUGGGAUGCAGACCUUCUGCACUGUAUUCAUGUCUUAUUAUUGCAUGGAUGUUAUUUCUUUAUUUACUUGAAAUAUUUAUG